CCUACGGGAGGCAGCAGUGGGGAAUAUUGGACAAUGGGGGAAACCCUGAUGCAGCGACGCCGCGUGAGUGAAGAAGGAUUUCGGUAUGUAAACCUCUAUCAGCAGGGAAGAAAAGGACGGUAUCUGACUAGAAAGCCCCGGAUAACUACGUGCCAGUAGACGCGGGAAAACGUAGGGGGCAAGCGUUAGCCGGAUGUACUGGGGGUAAAGGGGGCGUAGACGGCAGCGCAAGUAUGGUGUGAAAUCCGAUGGCUUAACCAUGGAACUGCAUUGGAAACUGUGCGGCUAGAGUGCAGGAGAGGUAGGCGGAAUUCCUAGUGUAGCGGUGAAAUGCGUAGAUAUUAGGAGGAACACCAGUGGCGAAGGCGGCUUACUGGACUGUAACUGACGUUGAGGCUCGAAAGCGUGGGGAGCAAACAGGAUUAGAUACCCCUGUAGUC
This 440-nucleotide ribosomal RNA is filed under the name uncultured bacterium. RNAcentral's name for it is "partial 16S ribosomal RNA". It matches the Rfam family "Bacterial small subunit ribosomal RNA", at positions 338 to 795 of the family's 1533-position model. The record is from RNAcentral.